RNAcentral lists this ribosomal RNA (497 nucleotides) under uncultured bacterium. RNAcentral describes it as "partial 16S ribosomal RNA". It matches the Rfam family "Bacterial small subunit ribosomal RNA", at positions 28 to 507 of the family's 1533-position model. The record is from RNAcentral.
GAUGAACGCUGGCGGCGUGCCUAAUACAUGCAAGUCGAGCGAACAGACGAGGAGCUUGCUCCUCUGACGUUAGCGGCGGACGGGUGAGUAACACGUGGAUAACCUACCUAUAAGACUGGGAUAACUUCGGGAAACCGGAGCUAAUACCGGAUAAUAUAUUGAACCGCAUGGUUCAAUAGUGAAAGACGGUUUUGCUGUCACUUAUAGAUGGAUCCGCGCCGCAUUAGCUAGUUGGUAAGGUAACGGCUUACCAAGGCAACGAUGCGUAGCCGACCUGAGAGGGUGAUCGGCCACACUGGAACUGAGACACGGUCCAGACUCCUACGGGAGGCAGCAGUGGGGAAGCGUCCGCAAUGGGCGAAAGCCUGACGGAGCAACGCCGCGUGAGUGAUGAAGGUCUGCGGAUCGUAAAACUCUGUUAUUAGGGAAGAACAGAUGUGUAAGUAACUAUGCACGUCUUGACGGUACCGAAUCAGAAAGCCACGGCUAACUACGUG